UGUGGUGCCAGCCCCCACCUCCUCCAGUGGUCACCGUGAGGAAGUCCUGACUGAUCUCAUGGAAGAGACAAGCAKAUGGGAGGAAAGGAUGGGACCCUGCCUGGCUCUAGGAGAGCUCCCGAUAGACUCCCUCUCUUUGAGAGGUGCUAAAGAUUCUUUCCCCUCCUACUUGAAGUUUGUAUUAAAGCAAUGGAAGAGGUACAGAAGCCUGUGAUAUCAACAUAUUUAACAGAAAUCUGAAAAAGAGGUUGAACAGUGAAGUGACAACACUUGACAGUAGUUAUUUAGGGUGAGAAGACAGGAAUUGUGAAGAGAUGAAUAGCAGAUUACACGUCRGGCUGACUGGACAACAAAGCAUCAUUAAAAUCAGUGUUGAUAGCUGUGGAGUGAGGUACAUGAAAUGACACAAAUCUGAUGUCAUGUAAACAUGUUGGGCUCAGUUAAAUAUUACUGCACAGGAGAAAAAGAUUUUGAGGUAAUCGCAUAGAAAUAUAUGGAAAUGUCUUCUCAGUGCUCMAGAGAAAUCGGAGAAGAAAGCAGAAUUACU
Long non-coding RNA from Nothoprocta perdicaria, 547 nucleotides. RefSeq lists it as uncharacterized. NCBI's taxonomy places the organism in Eukaryota, Metazoa, Chordata, Aves, Tinamiformes, Tinamidae. The transcript has 3 exons. The record is from RefSeq and is a predicted model, not a curated record.